AUUGAACGCUGGCGGCAGGCUUAACACAUGCAAGUCGAGCGGAGAUGAGGUGCUUGCACCUUAUCUUAGCGGCGGACGGGUGAGUAAUGCUUAGGAAUCUGCCUAUUAGUGGGGGACAACAUUCCGAAAGGAAUGCUAAUACCGCAUACGUCCUACGGGAGAAAGCAGGGGAUCUUCGGACCUUGCGCUAAUAGAUGAGCCUAAGUCGGAUUAGCUAGUGGGUGGGGUAAAGGCCUACCAAGGCGACGAUCUGUAGCGGGUCUGAGAGGAUGAUCCGCCACGCUGGGACUUGGACACGGCCCAGACUCCUACGGGAGGCAGCAGUGGGGAAUAUUGGACAAUGGGGGGAACCCUGAUCCAGCCAUGCCGCGUGUGUGAAGAAGGCCUUAUGGUUGUAAAGCACUUUAAGCGAGGAGGAGGCUACUGAGACUAAUACUCUUGGAUAGUGGACGUUACUCGCAGAAUAAGCACCGGCUAACUCUGUGCCAGCCGCCGCCGUAA
RNAcentral lists this ribosomal RNA (501 nucleotides) under uncultured bacterium. Its description in RNAcentral is "partial 16S ribosomal RNA". It matches the Rfam family "Bacterial small subunit ribosomal RNA", at positions 30 to 523 of the family's 1533-position model. The record is from RNAcentral.